CAUGGUCGAUCCUUCCAGUAGUCAUACGCUUGUCCCAAAGAUUAAGCCAUGCACGUCUCAGUACAUACCGAAUCAAGGUGAAACCGCGAAUGUCUCAUUAAAUCGGUUAUGGUUCCUUAGAUCUUACCCAAAUUUACUUGGAUAACUCUGGUAAUUCCAGGGCUAAUACAUGCAAACCAGAGUUCCGUCCAGAUAUGGUGGGAACGCUUUAAUUAGAUCAAAACCAAUCGGUGGCGGAUGGCUUGCUGUUCGUCCAUCGUUUGCUCUGGUGACUCUGAAUAUAUGUGUGCUGAUAGUAUGGUCGUCUAGCACCGUCGACGCAUUUCUCAAAUAUCUGCCUUAUCAACUGUCGAUGGUAGGUCCUGCGUCUACCAUGGUUGUAACGGGUAACGGGGAAUCAGGGUUCGAUUCCGGAGAGGGAGCCUGAGAAACGGCUACAACAUCGAAGGAAGGUAGCAGACGCGCAAAUUACCCACUCCCGGCACGGGGAGGUAGUGACGAAAGAUAACGAUACGGGACACAUCCGAGGCCCCGUAAUCGGAAAGAGCACACUUUACAUCCUUUAACGAGGACCAAUUUGAGGGAAAGUCUGGUGCCAGCAGCCGCAGCAGUUCCAGCUCGAAUUGCGUAUAUUAAAGAUGUCGCGGUUAAAAGUCUCGUAGUUGGACCUGUGUGACACGGUGUCGGUUCACCGCUCGCGGUGCUUAACUGAUAUUACGUGGUACGUCCUAUCGGUGGGCUUAGCUCCUUUCGGGCGUUAGAACUAAUAUCCAAUCGCUGUGUUCUUUAACGGGUGUCGAGUUGGGCCAACACGUUUACUUCGAGCAAAUUAGUGUGCCUAGAGCAGGCUACCGUCAACUGAGUAUUCUGUGCUUGGUAUAUUGGAAUAGGACUUGGGGUCUAUUUUGUUAGUAUUCGGAACACCGAGGUAAUGAUUGAUAGGGACAGAUGGGGGUAUCUGUAUUGCGACGUUAGAGGUGAAAUGAUUGGGUCGUCGCAGGAAAGACAGAAUCGAAAGCAUUUGCCAGAAAUACUUUCGUUAACCAAGAACGAAAGUUAGAUGUUCGAAGGCGAUUAGUCCUAACCGCCUCAGUUCUAACCGUAAACGAUGCCGGCUAGCGAUCCGCCGAAGUUCCUCCGAUGACUCGAGGACAGCUUCCGGGAAACCAAAGCUUUUGGGUUCCGGGAAUGUUUGGUUGCUAAGCUGAAACUUAAACGAAUUGAUGGAAGUGCGCCACCAGGAGUGGAGCCUGCGUCUUAAUUUGACUCAACACGGGAAGUCUAACCAGACCCGGACACCGGAAGGACUGACAGAUUGAUAGCUCUUUCUUGAUUCUGUGGGUGGCGGUGCAUGACUAUUCUUAGUAGGUGGAGCAAUUUGUCUGGUUAUUUCUGAUAACGGACGAGACUCUAGCCUGCUAAAUAGACGUAACUUAUGGUAUCUCAAGGGCACCCGGCUUCGGUCGGUGUGGUAUCACUACCAACGUACAAACGGACCUUCUUAGAGGAACAGGCGGCUUCUAGCCGCAAGAGAUUGAGCAAUAACAGAACUGUGAUGUCCUUAGAUGUUCUGGGUCGCACGCGCGCUGCACUGAAGAAAUCAACGUGUUCUCCCUGCCCGAAAGGCCCGGGUAGCCGCAGGGCCGCCUUCGUGCUAGGGAUUGGGGCUUACAAUAAUUCCUCGUGAAUGAGGAGUUCCCUGUAAGCGCUAGCCACAAGUUCGCGUUGAAUACGUCCCUUCUGUUUGCACACAACGCCAGUCGCUACUACCGAUUGAGUGGUUUAGUGAGGUCUUCUGCGUGGUGCGCGGCCAAUGUCUCGGCAUGGCCGAUGUUACUGGGAAGAUGGCCAGACUUGAUCACUUAGAGGAACUAAAAGUCGUAACAAGGUUUCCGUUGGUGAACCAGCGGAAG
This 1913-nucleotide ribosomal RNA is filed under the name Eufriesea mexicana. RNAcentral describes it as "SSU rRNA". It matches the Rfam family "Eukaryotic small subunit ribosomal RNA". The record is from RNAcentral. Lineage: Eukaryota; Metazoa; Arthropoda; Insecta; Hymenoptera; Apidae.